UGGGCGUAAGAGCUCGUAGGCGGUUUGUCGCGUCUGCUGUGAAAUCCCGAGGCUCAACCUCGGGCCUGCAGUGGGUACGGGCAGACUAGAGUGCGGUAGGGGAGAUUGGAAUUCCUGGUGUAGCGGUGGAAUGCGCAGAUAUCAGGAGGAACACCGAUGGCGAAGGCAGAUCUCUGGGCCGUAACUGACGCUGAGGAGCGAAAGGGUGGGGAGCAAACAGGCUUAGAUACCCUGGUAGUCCACCCCGUAAACGUUGGGAACUAGUUGUGGGGACCAUUCCACGGUUUCCGUGACGCAGCUAACGCAUUAAGUUCCCCGCCUGGGGAGUACGGCCGCAAGGCUAAAACUCAAAGGAAUUGACGGGGACCCGCACAAGCGGCGGAGCAUGCGGAUUAAUUCGAUGCAACGCGAAGAACCUUACCAAGGCUUGACAUAUACGAGAACGGGCCAGAAAUGGUCAACUCUUUGGACACUCGUAAACAGGUGGUGCAUGGUUGUCGUCAGCUCGUGUCGUGAGAUGUUGGGUUAAGUCCCGCAACGAGCGCAACCCUCGUUCUAUGUUGCCAGCACGUAAUGGUGGGAACUCAUGGGAUACUGCCGGGGUCAACUCGGAGGAAGGUGGGGAUGACGUCAAAUCAUCAUGCCCCUUAUGUCUUGGGCUUCACGCAUGCUACAAUGGCCGGUACAAAGGGCUGCAAUACCGUGAGGUGGAGCGAAUCCCAAAAAGCCGGUCCCAGUUCGGAUUGAGGUCUGCAACUCGACCUCAUGAAGUCGGAGUCGCUAGUAAUCGCAGAUCAGCAACGCUGCGGUGAAUACGUUCCCGGGUCUUGUACACACCGCCCGUCAAGUCAUGAAAGUCGGUAACACCUGAAGCCGGUGGCCCAACCCUUGUGGAGGGAGCCGUCGAAGUGGGAUCGGUAAUUAGACGAAGUCGUA
Molecule: ribosomal RNA, 936 nt
Filed under: Microbacterium sp.
Lineage: Bacteria; Bacillati; Actinomycetota; Actinomycetes; Micrococcales; Microbacteriaceae
Description: bacterial SSU rRNA
Rfam family: Bacterial small subunit ribosomal RNA
Source: RNAcentral